UAGGGAAUAUUGCACAAUGGAGGAAACUCUGAUGCAGCGACGCCGCGUGAGUGAUGAAGGACUUCGGUUCGUAAAGCUCUGUCGUAUGGGAAUAAGAAAGUGAAUGUACCAUGCAAGAAAGGAUCGGCUAACUUCGUGCCAGCAGCCGCGGUAAGACGAGGGAUCCUAGCGUUGUUCGGAAUCAUUGGGCGUAAAGCGGAUGUAGGUGGCUUUGUAAGUCAGGUGUGAAAGCCCCGGGCUCAACCCGGGAAGUGCAUUUGAUACUGCGAAGCUUGAGUGCUGGAGAGGUAAGUAGAAUUCCUGGUGUAGUGGUGAAAUACGUAGAUAUCAGGAGGAAUACCGGAGGCGAAGGCGGCUUACCAGCCAGACACUGACACUCAGAUCCGAAAGUGUGGGGAUCAAACA
Molecule: ribosomal RNA, 405 nt
Filed under: uncultured Bdellovibrio sp.
Lineage: Bacteria; Pseudomonadati; Bdellovibrionota; Bdellovibrionia; Bdellovibrionales; Pseudobdellovibrionaceae
Description: bacterial SSU rRNA
Rfam family: Bacterial small subunit ribosomal RNA
Source: RNAcentral